GAUGAACGCUGGCGGCGUGCCUAAUACAUGCAAGUCGAGCGAACAGACGAGGAGCUUGCUCCUCUGACGUUAGCGGCGGACGGGUGAGUAACACGUGGAUAACCUACCUAUAAGACUGGGAUAACUUCGGGAAACCGGAGCUAAUACCGGAUAAUAUAUUGAACCGCAUGGUUCAAUAGUGAAAGACGGUUUUGCUGUCACUUAUAGAUGGAUCCGCUCCGCAUUAGCUAGUUGGUAAGGUAACGGCUUACCAAGGCAACGAUGCGUAGCCGACCUGAGAGGGGGAUCGGCAACCCUGGAACUGAGACCCGGUCCAGACUCCUACGGGAGGCAGCAGUAGGGAAUCUUCGGCAAGGGGCGAAAGCCUGACGGAGCAACGCCGCGUGAGUGAUGAAGGUCUUCGGAUCGUAAAACUCUGUUAUUAGGGAAGAACAAAUGUGUAAGUAACUAUGCACGUCUUGACGGUACCUAAUCAGAAAGCCACGGCUAACUACGUG
RNAcentral lists this ribosomal RNA (497 nucleotides) under uncultured bacterium. RNAcentral describes it as "partial 16S ribosomal RNA". It matches the Rfam family "Bacterial small subunit ribosomal RNA", at positions 28 to 507 of the family's 1533-position model. The record is from RNAcentral.